UACGAGGGGGGCGAGCGUUGUUCGGAAUUAUUGGGCGUAAAGGGCGCGUAGGCGGUGCGGUAAGUCACCUGUGAAAUCUCUGGGCUUAACUCUGGGGCUGCUUCUGAAACUGCCGUGCUAGAGUGUGGGAGAGGCGCGUGGAAUUGCAGGUGUAGCGGUGAAAUGCGUAGAUAUCUGCAGGAACACCCGUGGCGAAAGCGGCGCGCUGGACCACUACUGACGCUGAGGAACGAAAGCUAGGGGAGCAAACAGG
Molecule: ribosomal RNA, 253 nt
Filed under: uncultured prokaryote
Description: partial 16S ribosomal RNA
Rfam family: Bacterial small subunit ribosomal RNA
Source: RNAcentral